This 508-nucleotide ribosomal RNA is filed under the name uncultured bacterium. RNAcentral's name for it is "partial 16S ribosomal RNA". It matches the Rfam family "Bacterial small subunit ribosomal RNA", at positions 28 to 507 of the family's 1533-position model. The record is from RNAcentral.
GACGAACGCUGGCGGCGUGCCUAAUACAUGCAAGUCGAGCGCAGGAAGUCAUCCGAACCCUUCGGGGGGACGUUGACGGAAUGAGCGGCGGACGGGUGAGUAACACGUAAAGAACCUGCCCUCAGGUCUGGGAUAACCACGGGAAAUCGGGGCUAAUACCGGAUGGGUCAUCGGACCGCAUGGUCCGAGGAUGAAAGGCGCUCCGGCGUCGCCUGGGGAUGGCUUUGCGGUGCAUUAGCUAGUUGGUGGGGUAAUGGCCCACCAAGGCGACGAUGCAUAGCCGACCUGAGAGGGUGAUCGGCCACACUGGGACUGAGACACGGCCCAGACUCCUACGGGAGGCAGCAGUAGGGAAUCUUCCACAAUGGACGAAAGUCUGAUGGAGCAACGCCGCGUGAACGAUGAAGGCCCUCGGGUCGUAAAGUUCUGUUGUAAGGGAAGAACAAGUGCCGCAGGCAAUGGCGGCACCUUGACGGUACCUUGCGAGAAAGCCACGGCUAACUACGUG